This 541-nucleotide ribosomal RNA is filed under the name Spizellomyces sp. 'palustris'. RNAcentral describes it as "partial 28S ribosomal RNA". It matches the Rfam family "Eukaryotic large subunit ribosomal RNA", at positions 66 to 597 of the family's 3401-position model. The record is from RNAcentral. Lineage: Eukaryota; Fungi; Chytridiomycota; Chytridiomycetes; Spizellomycetales; Spizellomycetaceae.
UAACAAGGAUAUCCCUUGUAACGGCGAGUGAAGCGGGAAUAGCUCAAAUUUGAAAUCUCACAGGGUUACCUGUGCGAAUUGUAGUUUAGAGAAGCGUUUUCGGGGGCAGCUUGGGUACAAGUCCUUUGGGAUGAGGCAUCAUAGAGGGUGAGAAUCCCGUUUAUGACCCAAUGUUUGCUCCUAUGUGAUACGCUUUCCAAGAGUCAGGUAGUUUGGGAUUGCUGCCUAAAAUGGGUGGUAAAUACCAUCUAAAGCUAAAUAUUGGCGAGAGACCGAUAGCGAACAAGUACCGUGAGGGAAAGAUGAAAAGAACUUUGAAAAGAGAGUUAAACAGUACGUGAAAUUGCCAAAAGGGAAACGCUUGGGGCCAGUAUUGCUUGCAGGUAAUCAUCUGCACGAUCCUGAAAAGGUUAGUGCAGUGCACUUGCUUGCAGGCAGGUCAACAUCAGUUUGGUCUGGGGUAAAAAGCCAGAGGAAGGUAGCUUGGGCUUCGGUCUGAGUGUUAUAGCCUCUGGUCAUGCCUUGGACUGGACUGAGGUCU